CUACGGGUCGCAGCAGUGAGGAAUUUUGCGCAAUGGGGGCAACCCUGACGCAGCAACGCCGCGUGAGUGAAGAAGGCCUUUGGGUCGUAAAGCUCUGUCGACAGGGAAGAAGUUAUCCAUGGUUAACAGCCGUGGGUAUUGACGGUACCUGUGGAGGAAGCAUCGGCUAGCGCCGUGCCAGCAGCCGCGGUAAUACGGGGGAUGCAAGCGUUAUUCGGAAUCAUUGGGCGUAAAGGGCACGCAGGCGGUUCUGCCAGUCAGAUGUGAAAGCCCGGGGCUCAACCCCGGACGUGCAUUUGAAACAGCAGGACUUGAGUACGGCAGAGGAAAGCGGAAUUCCUGGUGUAGAGGUGAAAUUCGUAGAUAUCAGGAGGAACACCGGUGGCGAAGGCGGCUUUCUGGACCGAAACUGACGCUGAGGUGCGAAGGCGUGGGUAGCGAACAGGAUUAGAUACCCCAGUAGUC
This 465-nucleotide ribosomal RNA is filed under the name uncultured bacterium. RNAcentral describes it as "partial 16S ribosomal RNA". It matches the Rfam family "Bacterial small subunit ribosomal RNA", at positions 339 to 795 of the family's 1533-position model. The record is from RNAcentral.